RNAcentral lists this unclassified non-coding RNA (332 nucleotides) under soil metagenome. RNAcentral's name for it is "partial contains 5.8S ribosomal RNA, internal transcribed spacer 2, and large subunit ribosomal RNA". The stretch from base 1 to 120 matches the Rfam family "5.8S ribosomal RNA", at positions 35 to 154 of the family's 154-position model. The record is from RNAcentral.
GAUGAAGAACGUAGCGAAAUGCGAUACGUAAUGUGAAUUGCAGAUUUCAGUGAAUCAUCGAAUCUUUGAACGCACAUUGCGCCCGCUAGUAUUCUGGCGGGCAUGCCUGUUCGAGCGUCAUUUCAACCAUCAAGCCCUAGGCUUGCGUUGGAGCCCUGCGGCUGCCGCAGGCUCCCAAAUCCAGUGGCGGGCUCGUCGUCGUACCGAGUGCAGUAAACAUCCUCGCUCAGGGAACGUGACGGGUUCUUGCCGUGAAACCCCCCACAUAUCAAGGUUGACCUCGGAUCAGGUAGGAAUACCCGCUGAACUUAAGUAUAUCAAUAAGCGGAGGA